UACAUAGGGAGCGAGCGUUAAUCGGAAUUACUGGGCGAAAAGCGCACGUAGUCGGCUUGUCAAGUCGGGUGUGAAAUCACCGGGCUCAACCUGGGAACUGCAUCCGAAACUGACUUGCUAGAGUAUGGGAGAGGGAAGCGGAAUUUCUGGUGUAGCAGUGAAAUGCGUAGAUAUCAGAAGGAACAUCAGUUGCGAGGACGGCUUCCUGGACCAAUACUGACGAUCAGGUGCGAAAGCGUGGGGAGCAAUAAGG
This 253-nucleotide ribosomal RNA is filed under the name uncultured bacterium. Its description in RNAcentral is "partial 16S ribosomal RNA". It matches the Rfam family "Bacterial small subunit ribosomal RNA", at positions 524 to 776 of the family's 1533-position model. The record is from RNAcentral.